UGGGGUGCAGCAGGCGCGAAAACUCUGCAAUGCUGGAAACCGUGACAAGGGAACUGUGAGUGCCCGUUAAAUCGGGCUGUCCAUCGGUUUAAAUAACCGGUGAAGAAAGGGCCGGGCAAGACCGGUCCCAGCCGCCGCGGUAAUACCGGCGGCUCGAGUGGUGGCCACUAUUACUGGGCUUAAAGCGUUCGUAGCUGGUUUGUUAAGUCUCUGGGGAAAUCCUCCGGGUUAACCGGAGAGGUGUCUCAGGGAUACUGGCAGACUAGGGACCUGUAGAGGUGAGAGGUACUCCAGGGGUAUGAGUGAAAUCCUGUAAUCCUAGGGGGACCACCUGUGGCGAAGGUGUCUCACCAGAACGGAUCCGUCAGUGAGGGACGAAAGCUGGGGCGAGCAAACCGGAUUAGAUACCCGGGUAGUCCCAGCCGUUAACGAUGCGCGUUAGGUGUAUCGGUGACCACGAGUCACCGAGGUGCCGAAGAGAAAUCGUGAAACGUGCCGCCUGGGAAGUACGGUCGCAAGGCUGAAACUUAAAGGAAUCGGCGGGGGAGCACAAGGGCGAAUUGGCG
Molecule: ribosomal RNA, 566 nt
Filed under: uncultured archaeon
Lineage: Archaea
Description: bacterial SSU rRNA
Rfam family: Archaeal small subunit ribosomal RNA
Source: RNAcentral